AGAAAUAAGUGUGUGUUGGGCA
This 22-nucleotide non-coding RNA is filed under the name Arabidopsis thaliana (thale cress). Lineage: Eukaryota; Viridiplantae; Streptophyta; Magnoliopsida; Brassicales; Brassicaceae. The record is from RNAcentral.